UACGUAGGUGGCAAGCGUUAUCCGGAAUUACUGGGCGUAAAGCGCACGCAGGCGGCGCAUCAAGUUCGACGUGAAAGCUCCCGGCUUAACUGGGAGAGGUCGUUGAAGACUGAUGGGCUUGAGGCAAUGAGAGGGGUGUAGAAUUCCCGGUGUAGUGGUGGAAUGCGUAGAUAUCGGGGGGAAUACCAGUGGCGAAAGCGGCACCCUAGCAUUAGCCUGACGCUCAUGUGCGAAAGCGUGGGGAGCGAACGGG
RNAcentral lists this ribosomal RNA (253 nucleotides) under uncultured bacterium. RNAcentral describes it as "partial 16S ribosomal RNA". It matches the Rfam family "Bacterial small subunit ribosomal RNA", at positions 524 to 776 of the family's 1533-position model. The record is from RNAcentral.